This 478-nucleotide ribosomal RNA is filed under the name uncultured bacterium. RNAcentral describes it as "partial 16S ribosomal RNA". It matches the Rfam family "Bacterial small subunit ribosomal RNA", at positions 28 to 523 of the family's 1533-position model. The record is from RNAcentral.
GACGAACGCUGGCGGCGUGCUUAACACAUACAAGUCGAACGGUAAGGCCCUUCGGGGUACACGAGUGGCGAACGGGUGAGUAACACGUGGGUGAUCUGCCCUGCACUUCGGGAUAAGCCUGGGAAACUGGGUCUAAUACCGGAUAGGACCACUGCCUGCAUGGGUGGUGGUGGAAAGCUUUUGAGGUGUGGGAUGGGCCCGCGGCCUAUCAGCUUGUUGGUGGGGUGAUGGCCUACCAAGGCGACGACGGGUAGCCGGCCUGAGAGGGUGACCGGCCACACUGGGACGGAGAUGCGGCCCAGACUCCUACGGGUGGCAGCAGUGGGGAAUAUUGAACAAUGGGCGAAAGCCUGAGGCAGAGACGCCGCGUGAGGGAUGACGGCCUUCGGGUUGUAAACCUCUUUCAGCACCGACGAAGCACAAGUGACGGUAGGUGCAGAAGAAGGACCGGCCAACUACGUGCCAGCCGCCACCGUAA